CGUGCCUAUCCCCUGAUCUCGCGGAACCGACCUUUGUCCAUUAUAUAUAGAUAGCCCAGAGCCUGUUGGUAGUAUUGCCUUGCUCAGUGAGCACCAAGACCGCUUCCCAAACCCCCAAUUGAGCCGCCUGUGGUCGCCGUGUCCGCCUACGGUGAAACUCACUGCCACCACGGUCAGGCUAAAUUUGAGAUAGGCCGUGCCGAUUCAUCAAAUACCCCUGCUCCAUUUCCCUCCAAGAGUCCCGUUAUGCCGCCUUCCAUCGCCAAUUGCUUCCAGGAAUAAAUCAUGAGCAGAAUUCCCUGGUCCACCGAAGCUUCUCCGCCAUGGUUUAAGCCCCGCUCGACCUCGAGAUCUCGGGCAUUAGCCUUACCCUCCAGUGGAUGCAAACCGCUUCCGUGAUCACGCUGGUAUGCCAGGUGCAGAGAAUGGAGCCCCCUAGCUACCGCAAUCUUCGUUGAAGCCACCCACUGCCUCUGUUCGUGCACGCGAGGGAAGGAGAUGAACCCGAUACCUGUCAGCGAGCCACCCUCUCCCGUCAGUAGCGCACAGCCGUAGGUAGGUUUUCAAUUCUAAGAGACGUAUGCCGUGGAGUACGUUUUCUUUUCCCAAAUAUGUAUUUCCAUCGAAGAUUUUUCUGUAAACUAUCUUAUUUAAAAACAGAAUUUUGACCUAAGUUUGACUGGCUCUAACUUUUAAACCACAACUCUAAAUAAGUUGAUUCCUUUUCUGUUAUUUCUCAAAUUUCAUCUAGUUUACUUACAGAUUUAUUUAUAAAAAUUCAAAUAACUUUUAUACACUACUUUGGGAAUGUGUGUUAAUUUCAAUAUUUUCGAAAAUAGGAAAAUUGGAGGGAAGAAUCCUCUGAAAGAUUUUGGAGUGCAUACUGAUGUCUACUACGCAAUCUUUUCCUUGUAGACGUUGUUGGGCCUUCAAGUGCAGAGGGUUGUAGGACAGUAGUAAUUUUUCCUCAAAUGGGUGACCUAAAGUUUAUCAAUCCGCGGAAGGCGUAGGAUGAACAUGGUCUCUCUCAAGCAACCCUGCAAUCAAAUAACAAAGAGUCUCUUGUGUCCCCAACACACCUAAUACAAUGGUAAAUUUUAUAGGUGCACUAGUUCGGCGAAGAGAUGAUGAUACAAGUGCAAUAUGGAUGGUAGAUAUAGGUUUUUGUAAUCUGAAAUUACAAAAACAGCAAGGUAACAAAUGAUAAAAGUGAGCACGAACGGUAUUUGCGAUGCGUGAAAACAAGGUCUAGGGUUCAUACUUUCACUAGUGAAGUUCUCUCAACAAUGAUAACAUAAUUGGAUCAUAUAACUAGCCCUCAACAUGCAACAAAGAGUUACUCCAAAGUCACUAAUAGCGGUGAACAAACGAAGAGAUUAUUGUCGGGUACGAAACCACCACAAAGUUAUUCUUUCUGAUCGAUCUAUUAUAGAGUUCGUACUAGAAUAACACCUUAAGAUACAUAUCAACCAAGACCCUAAUGUCACCUAGAUACUCCAUUAUCACCUCAAGUAUCCGUGGGCAUGAUUAUACGAUAUGCAUCACAUAAUCUCGGAAUCAUCUAUUCAACCAAUACAUAGAGCUUCAAAGAGUGCCCCAAAGUUUCUACCAAAGAGUCAAAACGUGUGCCAACCCCUGUGCAUAGGUUCCCAAUGUCACGAACCCGCAAGUUGAUCACCAAAACAUACAUCAAGUACUCACAUGAAUCUACGUGUGCCAACCCAUAUGCAUAGGUUCCCAAUUGUCACAAACUCGCAAGUUGAUCACAAUAGAUAGACACGUGCAAGACAUACAUCAAGUGUUCUCAAAGACUCAAUCCGAUAAGAUAACUCCAAAGGGGAAACUCACUUCAUUACAAGAUGGAGAGGGGGAAGAACAUCAUAAGAGCCAACUAUAGUAGCAAAGCCCAUGGUACAUCGAGAUCAAGACAUCUCAAGAACACGAGAGAGAGAGAGAGAUCAAACACAUAGUUACUGGUACAUACCCUCAGCCCUGAGGGAGAACUACUCCGUCCUCGUCAUGGAGAUCGCCGGGAUGAUGAAGAUGGCCACCGGAGAUGGAUUCCCCCUCCGGCAGGGUGCCGAAACGGGCUCCAGAUUGGUUUUUGGUGGCUACAGAGGCUGGCGGCGGCGGAACUCCCGAUCUAGGUUUCUUUCUGGGGGUUUCUGAAUUUAUAGGAAUUUAUGGCGGUGGAAUUGCGUCAGUUGGGCCUACGAGGAGGUCACAAGCCUGCACGCCACCACCGGGGGGGUGUGGCGGAGUGAGGGCUUGUGACUCCAUUGUGGCCCAUCUGGCCUUCUCCCAAAGCUUCGGGGGUCUUUUUUGGUUCAAAAAAAAUCAUCGUAAAGUUUCAUUCCAUUUGGACUCCGUGUGAAAAUGAGCCAAAAACACGGAAAAAACAGAAACUGGCACUUGGCACUGAGUUAAUAGGUUAGUCCCAAAAAAGAUAUAAAAUAGCAUAUUCAUGCAUAUAAAACAUCCAAAGUUGACAAGAUAAUAGCAUGGAACCAUCAAAAAUUAUAGAUACGUUGGAGACGUAUCACAUACCAUCCUUCUUCAUACCCAAGGCAAGCAUCUUGAACAUUGAUUUGUCAUAAGUUGCCUGAUUGCUUGCUGUGAUAAAUGAAUGCAUGUUUAUGAUAGUAAGAUAAAAACUUCCAUAUAGGAAAUGUUUCUGCAUGAUGCAUGUGAUGGGUAUUUAAUUGAUGUUGGGAUAAAAUACAGAUGAUAGCGGGUACUACCUCAUGCCACGUAUGCCUUUGUUGGUCUGGCUAACCUUGGAGGAAGGUUUUUCAUGGUAAAUGUGUGAACGCAAAGCUGAUAUCUCAUGGCGACGAGAGUGAUUAGUUAGGGCAUGCCGAGGUUUGAUGGUGGUAACACUUUCGGAUAUCAUUCAGAAAUUUUGUGGUUCUAAUCAUUGCAGGAAAACUUUAACCUCCUGAGUUGACCAUAGAUCGAGUCUUGGGCCAGUAACCACAUACUUGAUUUGUGCCACAAGUUGUCCCUGCCAUGGAUAGGGUGCAGUUGAGUAAGUCAUCAACCCCUUUCCUUGCACAAACCAUACAGAAAGGCCAUAGUGAAAGAUACCACUAAUCGGUGGUAGGCAUGUCACUUGGUCCAUACCACUGAUCACUAGUAGACAUGUCACUUGGUCCGGGGGCAUGGGUGUUCCGGUUGGACCGAGGGUAUAGCACCCCUGUUUUGCGUGCCGUAAAAAUAUGUUGAUCCCAUGCUAAUCGAGAUUGUAGUCUCCCCACUUAGAGUUUUGCUUAACGAUUGAUUUGGGUGAUUCCUCGCAUCGAGAAGUUAAGCUCGUGUGUGCGGGCCAGGUGUGUUUUCAACUCAAAGACCAUACGCGAAAUUAGCCAAUGUUUUCAGGUUGACUAAGGAAAUUCGUUACUCGUGGGUAAAAAGUACACCCUCUUCAGAGUUAAUAUGUGGGGACCCCGACUGGUAGGUCGAGAUCUCCGAAUGUACAUGAUGAGUGAUCCCAGAGAUCAAUGCUCACUGAACACACAGAAACAGAAUAAAAAGAGUCUUACAUCCAUACAUACCAUUUGAUACAAAUAAGAACCAUUGAGGUCAAUUCCUACAUAGAUAGGGCCAUGAAGUCCAACACACCAAACUCAACUAGUAGCGGAAAUCUUGGUUGAAAGCGUGAACCCAUGCCAUCGGCCUUAACCUACAUGCAUUCUGACUAGGAAGCGUCCUAGCUCACAGGAACGUCACCAAGGUACUCUUCACGAUCUUCUAUCCUCACUUACCUGGUCAAUGAAAUAACCAGUGGCAAGCCAAUGACUUCUUUGAAUGUACUCGCAAGCAACACAUGUUUGGAACAAGGCAAUACUAAAGCAUACUAUAAUAUUGGUAGGCUAUUUUUGCACAAAGUGGAUUUUCCCCUAGUGCAAUAACAUGAUCACAUUCUCGUGCGACAAUGCAUCACAAGGCUUAGCGGUAAUCUAGUGCACAUGUUACAAAUAUCGAUAUCAACUGAGGGUUGAACAUCCAAUGCUCACCCAUUGUCACGCCCAAGAUGCGACCCUAUCCUCAAUUUGGCACGAGGGCCUCGUCAGGGAUAGAAGCGCAUCUCGUCGUGUCGCAAGAAUGAAUAUCGUUACAAGUACAUGUACUGAAAAGAAGAGAUAUAUAUAGAGUUGGCUUACACUUGCCACAAACUACAUCAGAGUCACAUCAGUACAUUACAUAACCAUCAAGAGUAAGAGCAGGGUCCGACUACGGACGAAAGCAAACGAGAAAAUAAGAACGACGUCCAUCCUUGCUAUCCCAGGCUGCCGGCCUGGAACCCAUCCUAGAUCGAUGAAGAAGAAGAAGAAGCAACUCCGAAUGAACAAUCAACGCGCUCGCGUCAAGUAACCUUUACCUGUACCUGCAACUGGUGUUGUAGUAAUCUGUGAGCCACAGGGGACUCAACAAUCUCAUUUCCAAAGGUAUCAAGACUAGCAAAGCUUAACGGGUGAGGCAUGGUUAAGUGGUGAGGUUGCAGCAGCGGCUAAGCAUAUAUUUGGUGGCUAACUUACGAGUACAAGAAAUAAGAGGGGGAAGAUCUACGCAUAACGGACGUGAACUACUGAUGAUAAAAUGAAUGAUCCUAAACACCUACCUACGUCAGACAUAACCCCACCGUGUCCUCGAUCGGAGAAAGAACUCACGAAAAAGACAGUCACGGUUACGCACACAGUUGGCAUAUUUUAAUUAAGUUAAGUUCAAGUUAUCUAGAACCAGUGUUAAACAAAGUUUCCACGUUGCCACAUAACCGCGGGCACGGCUUUCCGAAAAGAUUUAACCCUGCAGGGGUGCUCCAACUAGUCCAUCACAAAUUACCACAAGCCGCAUAGAAAUCCUCAAUCACGAAGCUCGCGAUCUCGUCGGAUUCCCUAGUGGAAAACCUCAACUCUGAGAUUACCCAAAGCAACACCGGAAUCCCGAUGCACAAGAUAUCUCGUCAAAGGUAAAACUAAUCCAGCAAGGCCGCCCGACGUGUCGACGAUCCCGAUAGGAGCCGCGUAUCUCGUUCUCAGGACACGACGGAUAAGCACAGCGUGCGGUGGCCUGAUAGAAAUCUCCCGAGUUGCCCCGGGUUGGCCCCGCAAACGGCUCUAGUUUUGGACCAGCACCAACAGCACUGGCCCCCUUUAUUAUGUAAAAUUACUCCUCGGGUUCAUGACGCCCUAUGCAUUUCAGUGUUAACAAAAUUAUUAUGUUGGGAAAAUGUAGAACCAAUGUUGGGCCUUGCCGGACCAGCUUUAAUCUAAAACGAUUUAUCAAGGGGGUCCCCAUAACAACCCCGAUCGUGUUAGGGGCGCUCGUUUAUGGAACAUAACACCGGUAGCCGAAACUAAGGGGGCAAAGGUGGAACAAAACACCAGGCUAGAAAGGACGAGCCUUCCACCUUUUACCAAGUAUAUAGGUGCAUUAAAUUAAAUAGCAUUUAAUAUGGUGAUAAGAGAAGGAACCCAUGUUAUCACAUGGAAGCAACUACACCUGCAACUAGCAACGCUAACAACAUGGUUAAGCAAGCAACAACAUAGCCAAUCAGUGGUUUGCUAGGUUGAACAGGUUGAAGGUUAUCAUGGCAUUGUUGAGGGGCUCAUAUUUAACAUGUGGUAGGCAACGAGACAUAAUCGAUAGAAGCGAUAAAACUAGCAUGGCAAAGAUAGUAAUGGUAUCUGGGGAAAUGAUCAUCUUGCUUGAGAUCCCGCUUGGAAGAAGAAUGACUCCGUGAAGCAGAUGAAGCGAUGUAGUCGAACGGGUCCUCACAACCGGACACGCUUGCGGAACUCUAUCGAGACGGAGGAAACCGAAAACAAGAAUUAACACACGAUAUUCACCACACGAUGCACAACAUAUAUGAUGCAUGAACGGUCUAAUGCACGGCAUGACAAUCACAACAAUCAAACACUACACAUUAAGUGAAGCUCGAUAUGCAACGAGUUGCAUAUCGACGAAACUCCACGUUGAAUUAUUUAGUUCACUCCCGUUUAUUAACACGGCAAUAUUAAAAUGUUGUUAACAUGACAUGGGGUGAAGCACAAAUUAAUCAACCUAGCUAGGCAUUUUAAAUGAGACCGGAAACGACAUAUAGCAUCUCCGAGAUGACCCCACGCGUUAAAUUCUAAUUCUGUCCAGAUUUGUCCUAAUCACAUUUUAAAUUUGUUAAACAUCGAAACAAAGUGGUUCACGUGAAACUACAUGUCGUUCUAGCCCAUUUACAUAUAUGGCUCAUCUCUAAUGGAGCUACGGAUAAAUAGUUAUGAUCUAAACCGUUUCAACACGUCGACACACAAACCGAUGCAAACAUCACACUAAACAGUUCUAAUUAUGCAUGAGAGUUGGAAAAUAUUACUCUACGUAAUAUUCUAGCCAAGUUGCAUAUUUAAAUCACUCCGAUCCGGUGCACGGUUAAGAAACUACGAGCGUUUGAAAAACAAUGCAUUUUUAAGAAAUUAAAGAGAAAUUGCACGUGCUAAAUAAACCACUACUGGGCCGAAUCUAUGCAAAAGGCUGCAGCCAGCGGAAGCUUUCGGCCCAUGUGCUUGGAUGUGUGGCUGUGCAAAACAAUAUAGAACAGCAAAAAAAUUAGGGGCUUGGCUAGGAUUCAAACCAAGGACCUCUUGGUUGCUAGAAUUAUGGAUUGACCAUCUUGCCUACUGCAUGUUUGUGACACAAUAGGGGAUCGAUGUCAAAUAGCUGAUCCUCUCGUGAUGGAAUAAAAUGACUGAAAAAAUGGUGCUUCCGUGGGGACUCGAACCCACAACCUCUUGCAACAAUGCCGGUUGUGCUAGCCAACUAGGCUGGCUGUGUGCUCGUGCUAAAAGCGAUGUAUGUCUCCUAAUGAACCGAUACAGCCACAGGGUCUGAACGAGAUUUAAAACGGUGUGACUGAAUCUGAACCUGAGAAAGAGGUGCAUUCGACCAUGGAGGUUGUUGCGCGUCAACGGCGUCGGCAGCACGCCCGGCGGGCGAUCCGAAGGCGGGGAGGCCGGAUCUGGGGCGGGGCUGCCCGGAUCCGUCCAUUCCUGGUGAUCUCGAGGCGCCACGGCAAUCUUCUCGGCGGCUCACCUCCAUGGAUCGAGCGUCCCUGGGAGCUUCUCUGCAGAGAAAAGAAGGGGAAGGGAUGAGAUGAGAGGAAAAGCAGGGGAAGGGAAGCAGGAGAUAGACGAGGCCAGCCUGGUUGGGAUGAGGGGGGUUCCUCGGGGCAGAGGCGUUGGCUCGCUGCUCCACUGACCGCAGAUGGAGCAGGGCGUGGCCUUGGCUUUAUGGCACACUGUCGAUGCAGCAGAUGAGGUAGCAAGCGAGACGCGGGACUUGGCGGCACGGGCGACACAGGGACGCGAGCUGCGGCUCUUGGCGAUGGCGAGCUACAGGAGGUCCUCGUGGACGCGAGGGGAACGGCGCUGGGAUGGAUCGAGCAGGGGUGACGCUGGUUUCGGGCACGAGCUCCUCGGACGGACCAAAGGAGCGGAUGCGGGACGCUGGGUUGCACGGGGCUGCCCUGGACCGAACAGGAGGAAGGAGGAGACCACAACUGGUUGGCCAGAUGGGAAAACGAGGUGGGUGGCGGCGGCUGCGGGACAAGAUGGAGGUUUUUUUGGGAUUAGGUGUGAUCUAGAUUAGGGUCCAUAUAAAUAUCUAGCAGCUAGGAUUAGGUUCAUCUCGACCCUCCGAUUCUUGAUCGGACGGUCGGAAAAAUAGGUUAGGAAGUCCACUGGACAAACCGAAGACAGUUUGCGCUAAAACGGGGUUGAUCCGGACCCAACGGUCACGAGCACCCGGUUUGGGUUCCGGGAGAUUUCGAACUAGGUUGCGUGCAGGUCGGUACACUGUGUAGAGGGGCUCAGCAGGGAUGAGAGGGAAAACGGGCGGCGCGGCAACGAUUUUUAAAACACCGAUGACCGUCCGAUGGUAGACCGAAUACGGUGCCGCUACGGUCGACCGUUCGGGUACUAGACGAACUCCGAUCGUGACGAAAUUCGACAGGCGGCCUAGCUAUAUUAAAAUAAGACCGCACGUCAAAUCUCAACCCGAUCAGAGAAAGUUUUACGCACACUUUUAAAACAGGGUUACGACGAUGCCGCGGUCGCGUGCGUGUGCGAUCGGACUCAGAACGAACAACGACGAGAACCGACAACUACCAACGGAUGCAAGUUUUGAAAACUGGCGGCAACGGAGAUGCCGAUGCAAUGCUGAUGAUGCGCAUGAUGCGAUGAAGAUGCGACAAAAGAAAAAUAGACACACAACGAAAAUGGAAAGGAAAGGGAAUCUUCUGGAACGUCGGCAUCGGGCUGUCACACCCAUCAUGCCAAGUCACCUGACUUAGCUCCAACAUCAUCUUUCCCAUGUCUCCAUCUUUUUCCUCAUAUCACCCCCACACACUUGGUUUAUGCGGAAACCACUAGACAUAGUUUAAGUAGCACCACCCAACUAUCCUUGACCGUGGACACGACUAUUCGAAUAGUUUUAACUCUGCAGAGGUUGCACGCUGCACCCACGAGACUCGGGGAACUUCCGUGUCAUCCACGACUUGUCGUAUGUAACAUACCCGAGGUAAGAACCCAAACAAUGCCUUUCCCCUGACGACACUAAACAAAGAGUCCACUCGAUUGGUACCGACACCACAGGAUGUACAUCUUACAAGCCUCGCUCUAGAUCGUAUCAUUCAUGCAGGGGCCAACAGAGUGCCUGGCACAUGUAAAAACAACAUAGUCAUCCUACCUGGACGACCCCGACACGAGAGUGACCACGCCACUCCCGCCACUAAUAAUUCGGGCUCUCUACUAGUAUCGACUAAGGUAAUCAACAAAGCUCCAUUCCAUAAGGGGCAUCGUCGUCGCACAUGUACGGUUGGGACAGUCGCACAUGUAAGGUUGGGACGGUCGACAAAUCUUAAAUCUAAUCCCGUUUCUGAAACCUCACACACAAAUCUUUCUUGAUACACCACUUCUUUCUCAAGUGGUCAUCCAUCUCAAUACCAUCACCCUCAGGCAUUAGUGGCACCCGACGGGGUUUUCGAAAAGCCUUUGUAAUCACCUUCGUGUUACCAUCACCAUGCAUAUGCCCAUCCUACGCGUAGCACUACUAACAACCUAUUAACUUUUUAUCUAUGUGACCCUCAUAGGUGUUAAGGUCAUGCUCAAAUGCAAGUUUUAUCGAGGAACCAUCGGAAAAACCAUACUGAGGGGUUUACCGAUUCAAUCCUGAUCACAUGCAUCGAAAUGAAAUAAUAAAUAUGGCAUGCAUGAAAAUAUUUUCUCAAACAUGGUCAAAGGGCUGCUUGCCUUGCUCAAUAGGUCUCCGGGUCUUCAAGGUCUUCCGGUCCAACUCCGAGUACUCCGUUUAUUCCGCGAACUAUCGUAACAACAAUAAUGAUAAGUUACACAACAAGUAGAAACACAAAUUUCUCUAUAAAUAGGAGUUAUAUUACUCUCAGACCUCUCCGGUCAUAAAAAAUGCCUAAAGUUGUUCUAAGGGAUUUGGAUCACCAGGGAUUUUUGAACCGGGGAAAUGGAGGCAUCACUAGCCCCACAAGAAGCCUACAAAAAUUAUUUUGCUAAAAAUGAGUGGAGGAAAUCAUUUAAUAGGGCAUGAAUUUAAAAUAUUUAGGAAGUGGUCCCAUUGGAUUUGGAGUUGGUAUGAAUAUUCUAAGGGUUUUACAAUAUGGAAUAAAUGAGAAAAGGGGCUAUUUAAUUGGCCUAGUAGAAACAAUGCUAGAGAAAGAUGUUGACUAAGGGUACAAAAUUAAAUCAUGGUUUUAUAAGUCUCUACAAAUUGGAAUCACUCCAUUUGGAGUUGAUUUGAGAUCUAUAGGAAUUUCACAAGGUGGGGUUUUAAAUACUCAAAUUUGAAUUUGAAUAUUAACACCAUAGAAAGUUUAUCUGGAAAAAUGUGCAAUGCACAUAUUUGGAUAGGCAAGGAUUUUUGGAGUCUGUAGGAACUUGAAUCAUCAAAUUUGGAGUUCACAAUAAUUAUUUAUGGAUUUUUGAAGUUCCUUCUAAAAGAAAAGGAGGAAACCAUUUUUACGAGAGGUGCUAAAAUGUGCCCAGUGGCGCUGGGGAGGAGGUGAGCCGGCCCAGUGCCUCGGCCUAGCGGGCAGCACGCGACGCAGGAAGCAACUUCGUGGGAAUGCGCCUUCUGCGCAGGGAAGCGACCAGGAGGCUCCCGUCUCCACUUACCGAGCAUGGGUGUGGCCGGCCGGUCACCGACAUGCGGGACCCGCCGGUCAGGACAGUCUUCUGCCUCCCGCUCUACGGGGAGAUACAGGGGAGGCUAGGCGGGGCAUCACCUAACACCUGGCCUAGUGGAGGUGGACGAUGAUCGUGCCGGGCAGGUUGUCCUCGCCACGGAGGAGGAGCUGUGGGGAGUGGAGGAAGGUCAGCAGGGGCUCGGGAACUCCCCUGGUGUAUCUAGAGGGGUAGGAGGACGCCCAUUGUGCCUGAAUUUGAGUAACGACCGGCGAGGAGGCUCCGACCAUGUGGUGAAUGCAGGGCGUGGGAGCUCAAAUUGAAAGGCCCUCGGGGUCUACUCGAGAUGGAGAGAGCGAGACAGGUUAAGAGGGGGGGGGGUUGUGGGAGAGGUUAGUAGAGGACGGCAACCGAGGGGAGCUCGGAUGCGCCUCGGGUGCUCUUGGCAUGGCGGGAACAAGUGCAAGAGGCGUUUGGAGGCGAGCUGGUGUCGUGGAAAGGGUCAAAGAUGGAAAAGGAGAUGCCCUGGUGCGCUGGGACAUGCUGCGACAGCCGGACACACGCAACAGCAAGAGGACGACGUGUAGAGCCCCAUUUCUGCAUGCCAUGGAGGUGGUCACCAUGUGCAUUCAUGCCCACAGUGGUAUUCUGACCAGUCGAAGAUGUCUGCAUGAAAGGCAUGCAUGCAGGAGGGUGAUUCAGGAGCUUGGCCUCAUAUGGAGCAGUGUGGGUGGGGCUUCCUCUCUGAUUGAAUUUGCAACAUCAAACUUUAGGAUGGUAUAAAGUAUUUUUAGUUUGAGGAAUUUGAGUUAAGAACUUGUCUAGUAGUUUUAGGCAUGGAAGGACUACCAUACUACCAAGUUUCAGGUCAAGGAAAGGAGUGUAGCUGGCACUUGCACUUCAAGGCGCCAUUUCUCCAAAAAAAUUAAGUUUCAGAUGGGUUGCUCAUAUUUCCCACAUGAGCAUGCCAUUUCUUUGCUUGAAAUAGUGCAUUAGCAUACUAGAGGUGCUCUAGAAAGAUGUGGGGGCAUUGGCUUGAAUAGAAUUAUUGGAGAGAGUAAAAGAGGGGCUGACAUCAUAAAAACAAGAGGUAAAGAGAGGGAGUCACCCUCCAACAAUUGACUAGAGGCCAUGGCAAGGUUACUGGAUGUCAAAUAGGGCCAAGGAAUACUGUGUUAAAAAUUUGGGCUCAAGGAGAUUAGUAGAAGGGGUCAAAGAGGCGAGUUUGGUAAAUGAGCAAAAGGUGUUUGAUGGGUGUUAGUGCUAGCAAAUGGAUCCCAAUUGCUAUGAAACUUAACAAGAUCACAUGGUAGGUGAAAAUGAGACAUGUUACCAAAUUUAGGAUUUGUUGGAGAAAGUUUCCAAUGUAGUCUUGAAAACCCAAGAGAUAGGCAGAAAUGACUUUCUGAAGAAAAACCCAUGCAAUUUAAUUCCCACAAAUGCACCACUUGAUGUGGAGGCAUUAUUUGAGUACUAAAACAUGACCAAAAAGUUUGGGAUCAAUUGGAGAAACUUCACAAUGUAAAGUUUCCCAAUUCUAGAAAUUAACAGAAAAGGUUUUGAGGGGUUUCGGGCAAGUUAAUAUAUUCUCCAUGAUGCACCACUUGGUGCGGAUGCAUUAUUAAACCAUAAAAACUUAUCCAAAUUUUUUGAGCACAAUUGGAGACACUUAGGAAUGUAGAGUUGCUAAAUUUUGGAUUUGGACAAAUAGCGUUUUGGAAUAUUUAGCUGAACCAAAUCAACUUGGAUUGAAAUGAUACUUGGCAAGAUCAUCACAUUUACCAUGUGUGACUUGCUAGAAUUCUACUGGAAUUUAUUGAGAAUAUUUCUUAUGGAUAUUUUCCAAAAUCUUGAAAUAGGUAGAAGGCGUUUUGAAGGGCUUUGUCCAAUAUUGUGAACAUGACCAUGUGUUGAAACUCUCAUAUAUGGGAUAUAUAUAUAUCCACUAAGUUUCCCUAAAUUUUCUCAAAUAUUUUGAACCAAGAAAAAUAAUCUUCCUUUGUAAAAGACCAUUUCUGGAUUGAGAAAAAGGUAUUUAAAUAAAAUAGGAAAAUAACUUUUAAAAUAAUUUUUUUUUAUUUUGGGAAGUCUUUUGGACAAUGGGUUUCAAAUAAAAUAGUUUGGGGAGAACAACUCCCCUAAUUUGAGGAUUUUUAGUUCAAAUCCCAACUUAGGGAUUUUUGAAAGUUUGAACUAAAUAAAUGCUUUUUCGUCAAAAUAAUAUUUGGUAAAAAUAGUUUCUGGUCUUAUACACAUGGUUUGGUCAUUAGACAAAGGUCUAGGUCAAGGAGGUGAGUCUAGAGAAUAGUAGGAACCUUGUGAUUUGAAACACAAGCAAACAAGCACCAAGCAACAAUCACAUCAAGCACCACAAGCAUUCACAAAAGUUUUCAUUGGUCCUAAUUUUUGGGCUAUGCUAGUUUAGCCAAGAGAGUCAAAGCACAUGGUGUGACAGACCUUACCCCCUUAAGAAAAAUCUCAUCCUCAAGAUUUGUUAAGGUGGCUGUAAAAGCCUACUCCUACUAUGUUGCGUCGAAUAAUGCGAAAACGAAAUAUAUUAAAACAUGCGGUCCGUCGUGGUCACCGUAAAAGUGCCAAUAAUUGGUGCGUCUGAGGGUUACGACAAUUUUGGGAAAAAGAAAAUUUUGCAAUAUCCAUUUGCGCUUGUCGUACCCGGGUGCACAGUUCUUUCUCUGGCUGACAGGUGGGACCAGUGCCCACUGUCAGUCUCUUGUCCCUUCCUCCUUCUCCUUGCAUGCUCCUGAUGCUUUCUCCACUUAUGGUACCUAGCACGUAGGGUGCCCGAGGCCGCACUGUGGUAGUGCGCGGCGUGCUAGCUGCCAACGCAGCGUGCACUCACCUCGCGGGCCAGUGCUUGUCGGCACUGCUCGUGGAUUCCCAGUGAGCACCGAUGGUCGAGCGACGAGCGAGCCUGGUGGCUUCUCCCGCGGUGGCAGGGUCCAUGAUGAUUAGGCAACUAUGUAGUGCGUGAGUGGGUGCUAGUGUGUCGGCAGCACUCUACAAAAAUAAAAUACCCACAACAUUUACCAUCGAGAAGCUGCGGGGCUGCUAGUGAGGUAACCAGUUAGGUGCUAAAUGCGUGUGUGGUUCUGCACUUAGUGCAUGAGGUGCAAUGAGUGUGAUCGUGAUUCGGUUGGAUGUAUGUUUCUGGUGUGCCUUCACAUGUUUGGUCUUCUAGCCUUUCCGUAGCUUCUUUCCAUUGUUGAUGUAGCCGGGAGAGGAGUGGUGGUAGACUCCUAUUGCUUCUACUUCCUUGUCGUGGCCACCCGAUCAUGGUGGUUCUUCACCUUGUUGUGGUAGUUUUAUCUCCUCCUGCUUGGGGGGUGCUUCUCACUUCCCUUGGAAAAAUAAGAUUGCCAUGCAUGAGGACAACACCAUAUUUACUCAUCCAUCACUCAAGCAUCAUGCUUAUGAAACGUGUGAGAGGAGCACGUACUUGUCCAGGGUGGUCACUUGCCCUUGGGGUUUUAGUGGUGGCCGAGGGGCAGUAUGGGCUAUAGUCUAGAGACUUAGAGCCAAAACAUGCGGCCGCAACCCAGCCAUUUUAUGGCUAGGGAAUUUUCAGGGUUUUUAAGGAACUCAGAUGUGAGUGAGCAUCCAUCACCUUAUCCUUAAGUUCAUUCCUUAGAUGCCAAUAGUCUAGCCUAUAUAUGUGGACAAAAUUCACCCUAUAUCACCGAGGGUAACAUAUCACCUAAGUCAACUCCACACCACUUAUGCUAGUCAACUCCAAGGUCUGAGGGAAGAGCCUAUCCUAACCUAUGUAUGAAUCCUCGGGAAAGCAUACAACUGCUAAGCUUGAAUCAGGACACUACAAAUCCAAGUGUUCAGCUUGAUCAUCCAAUGAAUAAGGUACUGCAUGCUUAUGUUUAGGGAAACACAUAGUGUACCAAUCCAAGGCCUUGUUUCCUUCCUACGAAUCCAAUCAAGUGGUUCACCAAACCCAUCGACCAUCACUCGAGCCAUCACUCCUACAAAUCCAAUAUCGAUGGGGUUUACACGAUCGCCUAGAGUGCUCAUAAUCUACACAUCAUUGCAAGGACUAUGCCAUAGUAUACCCACCAUCUUCCAGUAUCAUGGUCAACUAAUCUCCAAGGCCAGGCUUAUAUAGAUUUGUAAAUCAAUUCGACAACUCCAAUUACUUCUACUUAUUACCCACCUAGAAACAUGGUAUCAUGAUCAAGAUCAUCCGACUAAAUCCAAUAUACUCCGAACCAUGUGGCCUCAUUCAUUGCCAAUACUCUAGUAGGUUUACCUAUUUAAAUCCGAUCCACAACUCCUACUUUUCACUCAAAGUCAUUACGGUAACAUCAUUAAACCAUGACUACUACUUGACAAAGUCAUUUUUAUUGUACCACCAAGAAUUUUGGCCCAUGAUCAUAAUUGUCCUACUGAAUCCAAACUUACUCCAGGAUUAUGUAGGUUAUGCUACUUUAUCAACUGAUCCUCCAAGAUAGUCCAACUAUAUCCUCAAGACACCUAUUAUCACUACAAAAAUCAUUACCUAGAAAUCAUAUACCCCAUAAGAUCCUUCCUAUCACAUCAUGGUUCUGGUGCUAGCUUAAGAAUGAAGGACACUUGUUCACUGUGAUCACUUGUUCCAUAGUGGACCUAGUGCUAAGGAGGGGUUAUUGGAGCUCAACAGGUGCUAUGGCCAUCCGUGUUUUAGACACAUGACCAGAAGUUUGAGCUGGGAAAUCUUGUGAGGUCUAGGUUGGUCUAGGGAGGGGCUUCCAGUAUUGAGGGUGAAGCAUAAUGCUAUGGGGUCGCGCCUGGUUGAGUAUGCCGCAGUCAGAGUCUUUAGUGCGAAUCGUUUGUCGGGGUGGAUCCUUGGUACAUCUCAUCUUGCUGGUCUUCACUUGUCGAGGAAGGUUGGAGAGAGAAAAGUAGCAUAGAGGGGAGUGCCCAAGGGGGUGGUAUAGUGCAAGUGCAAUCAAACAAGUGUCGCAAGGACAACUCAAACAUCAAAAUGAGACAGGUGAUAUAGUCGCGUACUCGUCGCCUAGGGAAAAAGUGCGACAUAUAUCAAUGCAUAAACAAGUAAAAACAAGCAACACACAAUAUGGUCCCACUCGAACCAUUUCACGGACUCGACUUCGCAUAGGGAGUUUACGACUCAUGCUACACUAGGGGUCCUCGAACUCAAUAGUCGUGCUUGCUUUGUGCCUUGGAGAGGAGUCCGUUCCCUCUUCUGGGUCUCCUUAUGGUGUCGAUAUGUCCUUUGUUGUUUUUUGCCGAAAUGAAUCGGGUUGAGCUGGAAUGAGUUCCUGACGACUUCUCAUCUGGUGAGAUGUCGGCGAAGGUGGUUUCCUCUCGUCUAUUGUUGACAAGGUCUGCUGUUGGUCUGGUACUCCUGUCAAUGUCUUUUUGUCAUCCAAGGCGUCGAGCGUCCCAGGUGGGCAAACCUUUAUGCAAUGACAUCGACAGGGCAUGAUAGAGUUCUGACCUGUCGGUUCAGUUGAUGAAAAUAUCGACACCAAGAUCAGGGGUUGAAGAGAACCGUUUUCCAGCUCACUAGGGUAUGGUGGAGCAAAGGGCGAGUGCGCAUCCACAAGUGGUGGUCGACACAUCAUCGAUAAUGACAAGGUCGCUCUAUUAGCAAUGCAUAUCAUGAUCUUGCAUAUCUUAUGUCCUGGUCAUCACAUGCCAAGGUUGCACCACUCUGGAACAGGGUCGAGGGUGUCACCAUCUCGAUGUCCUCAUUCCUCGAGAAGGUAGCAUUUGUUGGUGUCAUCUUGUUGCAGCAUUCCAACCUUGUCUUCCAAGUACAUGGGUGAUUGUUUAAAAGGGUUGCUUCCCUCCAAGUUAGCCAUGUGGAUUAUAAGUAAUCUAGUAGUCAAGGCACAAGGAGGCUGGCGGACAAUUGCAGGUUUUGAAAGGCAGAAGAGGAGAGUGAAAGGAACAAGGGUGGGGUGCUAAGGUAAACCUUCGCUCCCUUUGAUGAUUUAGGAGAGGUGCAAAAUAUAGAGGUUUUAUAAGUGCUCCUGAAGAGUGUGAAAAAAAGUUUUGUCUUAACUAACUUCCGUGCUAACUAAGGGCUUCCUACAGUUAGGAUGGCUCUGAUACCAGCUCUAUGGGGACCCCGACUUGUAGGCCGGGAUCGCCGAAUGUACGUGCUCAGUGAUCCCAAAGAUUAAUGUUCACUGAACACAUAGAAACUCAAAAAAGAGUCUUACAUUCAUACAUACCGUUUCAUACAAAUAAGGACCACUGAGGUCAAGUCUUACAUAGAUAAGGCCAUGAAGGCCAACACAACAAACUCAUCUAGUAGCGGAAAUCGUGGUUGAAAGCAUGAACCCAUGCCAUCACCCUUAACCUACAUGCAUUCUGAAUGUGAAGCGUCCUAGCUCGCAGGAACGUCACCAAGGUACUCUUCACCAUCUCUUGUCCUCUCUUACCUGGUCAAUGAAAUAACUAGUGGCAAGCUAAUGAGUACUUUGAAUGUACUCGCAAGCAACCCAUGUUUGGAACAAGGGAAUAAUGAAGCAUGAUAUAACAUUGGUAGUUUCUUUUUGCGGAAAGCGGAUUUUCCCUACUGUAAUAACAUGAUCAAAUUCUCGUGCGACAACGCAUCACUAGGCUUAGUGGUAACCCAGUGAAUAGGUUACAAAUAUCAAUAUCAACUGAGGGUUGAACAUACCAUGCUCACCCAUCAUGCCAAGUCACCUGACUUAGCUCCAACAUCAUCUUUCCCAUGUCUCCAUCUUUUUCCUCAUAUCACCCCCACACACGCGCACUUAGUUUAUGCGGAAACCACUAGACGUAGUUUAUGCAACACCACCCAACUGUCCUUGACCGCGAACACGGCUAUUCGAAUAGUUUUACCUCUGUAGAGGUUCUGCGCAGUACCCACGAGACUCGGGGAACUUCCAUGUCAUCCACGACUCGCGGUAUGUAACAUACCCGAGGUAAGCACCCGAACAAUGCCUUUUCUCUGACGAGACUAAACAAAGAGUUCACUCGAUUGGUACCCAGUCCACAUGAUGUACAUCUUACGAGCCUCGCUCUAGAUUGUAUCAUCAAUGUAGGGACCAACGGUGUGCCCGACAAAUGUAAAAACAACAUAGUCGUCCUACCUCGCAUGACACCGACACGAGAGUGACCAUGCCACUCCCGCCAUUAGUGUUGCGGGAUCUCUACUAGUAUUGACCAAGGUAAUCAACAAAGCCCCGUCCCAUAAGGGGUAUCGCGGUCGCACAUGUAAGGUUGGGAGGGUCGGCAAAUCUUAAAUCUAAUCCCGUUUCCGAAAUCACAUACACACGAAUCUUUCUUGAUACACCACUUCUUUCUCAAGUGGUCAUCCAUCUCAAUACCAUCACCUUCGGGCAUUAGUGGCACCUGACUGGGUUUUCGAAAAGCCUUUGUAAUCACCUCCGUGUUACCAUCACCAUGCAUAUGCUCAUCUUAUGCGUAGCACUACUAACAACCUAUCAACUUUUUAUCCUCCUGACCUCAUAGAUGGUAGGGUCAUGCUCAAAUGCAAGUGUUAUCGAGGAACCAUCGGAAACACCGUACCUAGGGGUUUACCGAUCCAAUCCUGAUCACACGCAUCAGAAUAAAAAAAUAAACGUCGCAUGCAUGAAAGUAUUUCCUCAGACAUGGUUAAAGGGCUGCUUGCCUUGCUCAAUAGGUCUUCGGGUCUUCGAGGUAUUUCGGGCCCACUCCGAGUACUCCGUUUAUUUCGCCAACUAUCGUCGAAACAACAAUGAUAAGUCACACAUUAAGUAGAAACACAAAGUGCUCUAUAAAUAGGAGUUUUAUUACUCUUAGACAUCUAUGGUCAUAAAAAAUGCCUAAAGUUGAUCUAAGGCAUUUGGAUCACGAGGGAUUUUUGAACGGUGGAAAUGGAGGCAACACUAGCCGCACAAGAAGCCUACAUAAAAUAUUCUGCUAAAAAUUAGUGGAGGCACUCAUUUAAUAGGACAAGAAACAUUUACGAAGUGGUCCCACUGGAUAUUGGAGUUGGUAUGAAUAUUCUAUGGGUUUGACAAUAUGGAAUAAAUGUAAAAAGGGGCUAUUUAAUUGACCUAGCAGAAACAAUGCGAGAGAAAAAUGUUGACUAAGGCUAGAAAAUUAAAGCAUGAUUAUAUAAGUAUGUGGAAAAUGGAAUCACUCCAUUUGGAGUUGAUCUGAGCUCUAUAGGAAUUUAACAAAGUGGGGUUUUAAAUACUCAAAUUUGAAUUUGAAUAUUAACACCACAAGAAAUUUCUCUGCAAAAAUGUGCGAUGCCCAUAUUUGGACCGACAAGGAUUUUUGGAGCCUGUAGGAACUUGAAUCAUUAAAUUUGGAGCUCACAAUAAUUAAUUAUGGAUUUUUGAAGUUCCUGUUAAAAGAAAAGGGGAAGCACGUUUUUACUAGAGGAGCUAAACUGCGCCCAGUGGCGCUGGGGAGGAGUUGGGCCGGUCUAGUGGCUUGGCUUGGCAGGCAGCAGGCAACGCGGGAAGCGCCUUCCCGGGAAUGCACCUUCUGUGCGGGGAAGCGGCCAAGAGGCUCCCAUCUCCACUUACCGCGCGUGGGCCUGGCCGACCGAUAACCGACAGGAGGGACCCACCGGUCGGGACCGUCUUGUACCUCCCGCUCAACGGGGAGAGGCAGGGGAGGCGAGGCAGGGCAGCACCUGGCGCUUGGCCCGAUGGAGGUGGAUGAUGACGACGCCGGGUAGGGUGUCCUGACCACAAAGGAGGAGCUUUGGGGAGUGGAGGAAGGUCAGCAGGGGCUUGGGAACUCCCGUGGUGCAGCUAGACGGGAAGGGGGCCGCCCAUUGUGCCCGAAUUCGAGUAAGGGCCGACGGGGAGGCUUCGGCCACGGGGUGAAUGCAGGGUGCGGGAGCUCAAAUUGAAAGGCCUCAGGGUCUAGUGGAGGGGAGAGAGCCAAAGAGAUUAAGAGGGGGGUUUGGGGAGAGGUUAGUCGAGGAGGGAAACCGAGGAGACUCGGAUGCGCCUCAGGUGCUCUCGGGAUGACGGGCACAAGUGCUAGAGGCGUUUGGAGGUGAGCUGGUGUCGUGCAAGGGGUCAAAGAUGGAAAGUGAGAUGCCGUGGCAUGCUGGGACACAAGCUGCAGCAAGAGGACAAUGUGUAGAGCACCGUUUUAGCAUGCGAGGGAGGUGGUCACCAUGUGCAUUCAUGCCCAUAGUAGUAUUAUGACGUCAAAGAUGUCUCGCAUGCAAGGCAUGCGUGUAGGAGGGUGAUUGAGGAGCGUGGCCUCAUAUGAAGCAGUGUAGGUGCGGCUUCCUCUCUGAUUAAGUUUGUAACAACAAACUUUAGGUAGGUACAAAGUAUUUUUAAUCUCAGGAAUUUGACUUAAGACCUUGUCUCGUAGUUUUAGGCAUGCAAGGACUACCAUACUAGCAAGUUUCAGAUCAAGGAGAGGAGUCUAGAUGGCACUUGUAGUUGAAGGCCCCAUUUCUGCAAAAAAAUCAAGUUUCAGAUGGGCUUCUCAUAUUUCCCACAUGAGCAUGCCAUAUCUUUGCUUGAAAUAGUGCAUUAGCAUACUAGUGGUGCUCUAUAAAGAUGUGGAGGCAUUGGCUUGAACAGAACUAUUGGGAGAGAGUAAAAGAGGGGCUGCCAUGGUAAAAAGAAGAGGUAAAGAGAGGGAGUCACCCUCACUAAUUUACUAGAGGCCAUGGCAAGGUUACCCGAGGUAAAAUAGGGUCAGGGAAUACUGCGUAAAAAUUUGGGCUCAAGGAGAUUAGUAGAAGUGGUCAAAGAAGCAAGUUUGGUAAAUGAGCAGAAGGUGUUUGAUGGGUGUUAGGGCUAGCAAAUGGUUUCCAAUUUCUGUGAAACUUAACAAGAUCCCGUGAUAGGUGAAAAUGAGACAUGUUACGAAAUUUGGGAUUUGUUGGAGAAAGUUUCCAAUGUAGACUUGAAAAACCCAAGAUAUGGGCAGAAAUGACUUUUUGAAGACAAACCCAUGCAAUUUAAUUCCCAAAAAUGCACCAGUUGGUGUGGAGGCAUUAUUUGAAUAUUAAAACAUGACCAAAAAGUUUGGGAUCAAUUGGAUUAACUUCACCAUGUAAAGUUUCCCAAUUCUAGAAAUCAACGGAGAAAGUUUUGAGGGGUUUUGGGCAAGUUAAUAUAUUCUCCUUGAUGGACCACUUGGUGUGGAUGCAUUAUUGGAGCAUAAAAACUUGUCCACAAAAGUUGAGAACAAUUGGAGACACUUGGCAAUGUAGAGUUGCUAAAUUUUGGAUCACGAGAGAUAGGGUUUUGGAAUAUUUAGCUUAAUCAAAUCAACUUGGAUUGAGAUGCAACUUGGCAAGAUCAUCACAUAUACCAUGUGUGACUUGCUCGAAUUUUACUCAAAUUUAUUGAGAGUAUUUCUUAUGGAAAUAUUCCAAAAGGUUGAAACAGGAAGAAAGGGUUUUGAAGGGUUUUGUCAAUAUUUUGAACAUGACCAUGUGUUCAAACUGUCAUAUAUGGGAUACAUAUGUCCACUGAGUUUCCCUAAAAUUUCUCAAAUAUUUUGAAAGCAAUAAAAGUAAUCUUCCUUUGUAGAAGACCAUUUCUCGACUAAGAAAAAGGUAUUUAAAUAAAAUAGGAAAAUAACUUUUAAAAUAAUAAUUUGAGGACUCCCCUAAUUUGAGGACUUGUAGUUCAAAUCCCAACUUAGGGGUUUUUGAAAGUUUAAAUUAAAUAAAUGUUUUUUGGUCAAAAUAAUAUUUGGUAAUAAUAGUUUCUCGUCCUAUACACAUGGUAUGGUCAUUGGACAAAGGUCUGGGUCAAGGAGGUGAGUCUAGAGAAUAGUAGGAACCUUGUGAUUUAAAACACAAGCAAGCAAGCAGCAAGCAAUAAUCACAUCAAGCAUCACAAGCAUUCAAUUUUUUUUAAUUGGUCCUAAUUUUUAGGCUAUGCUAGUUUAGCCAGGAGAGUCAAAACACAGGGUGUGACAUAAUAUCUACUCGAAUAGUCGUUUUCGCGUGUAAGGACUACAUUCUGGGAUAUGUCAAGUGUCGAUCUUCGGAGGAAUUAAUUGAAACAUAAUGAUGAUAAUGUACCCUGAUGAUGAUCAUAAUUAUAAUGAAUUUUUUCUAUGGACUAAUCAUUUGUUUUAUAUAAAUCUCUGAGUGUGCCUCGGAAGGUUCUACCUCGUGGAUACUCGCUGUUACCAUUGUCUUUAUAAGCCCUUUAUGUGGCAUCGCUCUAGACGCCCGACUGUGGCAACUAUUAUUAUCUCCGUAUAAGACCUAUACGUGGCGCCGCUCAGACGCUCGGCUAUGGCAACUGUUAUUAUUUCUAUAGAAGCCCUCUAUGUGGCAUCGCUUAGGCGUCCGAGUGAGGCAUGUCUUAUAUUGUUAUCCUUUCGAGGUGUUGCUUUAGACACCCGAUCGGUGUAUCUUUAUUUCGUUGGAAUUUUCGGGAGGAGUAUCGCCCGAUGUUCCAAUUUACUUUUAUUCUCAUUCAGUGAUUGCUUAGUUUCCUUCAGAAAUUAUGUACUUAACUACUUUUAAGAAUUUUUCUUAUGACUGAUUUAAUAUCCAUAAUUAGUUUUGGUGCAUGCAUCUCACUUGCUUUUACUUAUCUAUUUUCUUGAUGUUUGCGAGUACAUUCAAAGUACUUUUUGGCUUGUCCCUGACUAUUGUCUUGGCCAGAUUGAGCAUUUGGAGAGGAGCAUGAUGACGUCAAUCCCAA
This 21847-nucleotide long non-coding RNA is filed under the name Hordeum vulgare. Its description in RNAcentral is "long non-coding RNA (HVUL_LNC009332)". The record is from RNAcentral. Lineage: Eukaryota; Viridiplantae; Streptophyta; Magnoliopsida; Poales; Poaceae.